Molecule: unclassified non-coding RNA, 191 nt
Filed under: uncultured Glomeromycotina
Lineage: Eukaryota; Fungi; Glomeromycota
Description: sequence contains ITS2
Source: RNAcentral
UAAGUAAAAAUCGAGGUGUCGCUUUUGUGACAUUUCGGAGUUGGGUUAUCUUAGCCUUUCAGGUUAAGAGGCCUAAAAUUGAUGUUUUUUGCGCAUCCUAGACGUGUAUAAAUCGCUUAUCCGUUUUCGGGUGUCAAACUUUUUUAUUAGGUAUGGUCACUUCGCAUGAUCUCGUACCUAUAAUUUUCAUG